CCACCGCUCAGUUUUACAAUUUUCCAACUGCAAAUUCCGAUGAUUGACCAACGACUGGAAGACCGAAUAUCUUCUCACUGUCAUGACGACGCUCUCUGAAUAAAAGAAAGAAAAAAAGUAUAACAACAAAUAGACUCAUGUUCUCCAGCUCCAGCUUUCUGAUUUCCGACCGCAUCGCGCUGAUCACCUGCAGAAUCCUCUGUUUGCUGUCCAUGGUGCCGACCACACACAAUUCCAACCUGCCUGCACCUCUCUGAAAGGUGUAUCAGAUCUCUCACUUUCCACACUCCGAUAUCCUCAUUGCUGGGGCUCACGACGACAGCCUUACUGCAGUCAAAAAAAAUAGUGCUGAGUUGAUGAUGUCUCCACCUGGAGGAGAUUUAAAGACUCUACGGAGCUUAAUCCAUAUCUUUUCCCUUUUCAUCCCUGCUGCUUGCUUUGUAACCAUGACACCAAAGGCUCAGGACAGAUGCGGCUCCCCUCAGAAUCCCGCACUCAUCAUUUUAGCCAAGUUGCUGUUGACCCGGCGCCAACACCACAAAACAGGACAAGUAAUUUAAUUUGCCACUGCUGCCGACCUUGAAGAAAGGAAUGUAGGCUACCAGAAUCCCAAUUGGGAGGCUUGAAGAAAACGUCCUGGGAGCUGAGAGAGGGGUCACGCUGUUUUGCCUGUAGCAUCACACACAGUCUCCUCACCUCAACAGGAAUACUUUUGUCCUUCAGCAAUGCAGUAGUGCCACUUGCAGACUGCAGUGUCCAGAGAGCCCUAAAAAGGGAAGGAGUCUCACUCUGAUUCCUGGCAGCUUGUAGAGCAGUGGAGGCUAAAUUAGGCCUGGUUUCAUUGACUUCCAAUCCCUCGAGUCCCAACAACCCUGCAGCCCAGAAGAGGGGAGGCCGUGUGGCACUUCGGGCCUCUGAUGCUUCCUCAGAGCUUCUUCACGGCCUGGGAGGAAGAGGCUGCAACUUGCUCUGACCUUUUUUUAUUUAUGCUAAACAUUCCAAGAUUUCCUAAUGAAUUUAAUGAUGAUAUGUGAACUGAUUAAGUGCUUUAACCAUCAUGUGGUAUGUUUCGCAUAACACACAAUCUGCUCACUGUGUUUUUUUUUCUGCUGAUAAAAUGCUUGUCUGCCUCCCUCUCUCCUCUGCUGUUUCCCCUUUGCUGUGCUGUCCGGUGUGAUUGACCAUGUC
This is a long non-coding RNA of Scatophagus argus, 1188 nucleotides long. RefSeq lists it as uncharacterized. The transcript is spliced from 7 exons. The record is from RefSeq and is a predicted model, not a curated record. Lineage: Eukaryota; Metazoa; Chordata; Actinopteri; Scatophagidae.